UCGCAACUUAAUUCGUGUGGGGUUCGAACCUGCUGCAGGUUCGGGUCGAGCGCAAGCGAGACAACGUUGCCUGCGGCAACGGCCCGAAGGGCGAGGCCACAGGCCGAGUCAUCCUGCACGACCCACCA
This 128-nucleotide small RNA is filed under the name Winslowiella arboricola. Its description in RNAcentral is "RtT sRNA". It matches the Rfam family "RtT RNA". Rfam says of the family: This family represents a bacterial cis-regulatory element known as RtT RNA. Lineage: Bacteria; Pseudomonadati; Pseudomonadota; Gammaproteobacteria; Enterobacterales; Erwiniaceae. The record is from RNAcentral.